RNAcentral lists this ribosomal RNA (253 nucleotides) under uncultured Sphingomonas sp. Its description in RNAcentral is "partial 16S ribosomal RNA". It matches the Rfam family "Bacterial small subunit ribosomal RNA", at positions 524 to 776 of the family's 1533-position model. The record is from RNAcentral. Lineage: Bacteria; Pseudomonadati; Pseudomonadota; Alphaproteobacteria; Sphingomonadales; Sphingomonadaceae.
UACGGAGGGGGCUAGCGUUGUUCGGAAUUACUGGGCGUAAAGCGCGCGUAGGCGGCUUUGUAAGUUAGAGGUGAAAGCCCGGAGCUCAACUCCGGAACUGCCCUUAAAACUGCAUCGCUAGAAUUGUGGAGAGGUGAGUGGAAUUCCGAGUGUAGAGGUGAAAUUCGUAGAUAUUCGGAAGAACACCAGUGGCGAAGGCGACUCACUGGACACAUAUUGACGCUGAGGUGCGAAAGCGUGGGGAGCAAACAGG